Molecule: non-coding RNA, 117 nt
Organism: Aedes aegypti (yellow fever mosquito)
Lineage: Eukaryota; Metazoa; Arthropoda; Insecta; Diptera; Culicidae
Source: Rfam
UGCCCAGCAACUCCUAUCCCUACCUCCUCGUGGUACUGGCCGGGGUACGAGUAACCUUGGGGAAGAUCAGGUAACCAACCCCCGGUGGGAACUUUGGUCGUAUGCUGACAGGGAAUG